UAGAUUAGAGUUUGAUCCUGGCUCAGAUUGAACGCUGGCGGCAGGCCUAACACAUGCAAGUCGAGCGGAUGAAGGGAGCUUGCUCCUGGAUUCAGCGGCGGACGGGUGAGUAAUGCCUAGGAAUCUGCCUGGUAGUGGGGGAUAACGUCCGGAAACGGGCGCUAAUACCGCAUACGUCCUGAGGGAGAAAGUGGGGGAUCUUCGGACCUCACGCUAUCAGAUGAGCCUAGGUCGGAUUAGCUAGUUGGUGGGGUAAAGGCCUACCAAGGCGACGAUCCGUAACUGGUCUGAGAGGAUGAUCAGUCACACUGGAACUGAGACACGGUCCAGACUCCUACGGGAGGCAGCAGUGGGGAAUAUUGGACCAUGGGCGAAAGCCUGAUCCAGCCAUGCCGCGUGUGUGA
RNAcentral lists this ribosomal RNA (404 nucleotides) under Pseudomonas aeruginosa. RNAcentral's name for it is "bacterial SSU rRNA". It matches the Rfam family "Bacterial small subunit ribosomal RNA", at positions 1 to 408 of the family's 1533-position model. Lineage: Bacteria; Pseudomonadati; Pseudomonadota; Gammaproteobacteria; Pseudomonadales; Pseudomonadaceae. The record is from RNAcentral.